This 467-nucleotide ribosomal RNA is filed under the name uncultured bacterium. RNAcentral's name for it is "partial 16S ribosomal RNA". It matches the Rfam family "Bacterial small subunit ribosomal RNA", at positions 28 to 507 of the family's 1533-position model. The record is from RNAcentral.
GACGAACGCUGGCGGCGUGCUUAACACAUGCAAGUCGAACGGAAAGGCCUCUUUCGGGGGGUACUCUAGUGGCGAACGGGUGAGUAACACGUGAGUAACCUGCCCUUGACUUUGGGAUAACUUCAGGAAACUGGGGCUAAUACCGGAUAGGAGCUCCUGCUGCAUGGUGGGGGUUGGAAAGUUUCGGCGGUUGGGGAUGGACUCGCGGCUUAUCAGCUUGUUGGUGGGGUAGUGGCUUACCAAGGCUUUGACGGGUAGCCGGCCUGAGAGGGUGACCGGCCACAUUGGGACUGAGAUACGGCCCAGACUCCUACGGGAGGCAGCAGUGGGGAAUAUUGCACAAUGGGUGGAAGCCUGAUGCAGCAACGCCGUGUGCGGGAUGACGGCCUUCGGGUUGUAAACCGCUUUCGCUCAUGACGAAGCUUUGUGUGACGGUAGUGGGUAAAGAAGCACCGGCUAACUACGUG